Non-coding RNA from Paramuricea clavata, 1148 nucleotides. NCBI's taxonomy places the organism in Eukaryota, Metazoa, Cnidaria, Anthozoa, Malacalcyonacea, Plexauridae. The record is from the annotation of a GenBank genome assembly.
CUAUGAUUGAAAUUGUCGAAGUUGAAAAAUGAUAGAGGUACUAGUUCGUUAAUAUGACUUUAUGUUUUUUUCUAAUUCAUUUGGGAGAGAAGAAAUGGCUGUAUUUAUCAUUUUGGCAUUUGAGUGAUUGAAAUGAGUUAAUAUACACUACUGUAAAUCUCAUUCCAAAUAUAAGCACUCGGAUAUAAGCCCCCCUCCCGAAUAUUAGCACACCCAAAUAUAACACCCCCCCCGAAUAUAAGCCCAGUAGCCCACUACAUUAUUCAACAUUGACAUUGCCUUUUAUAGCAGAGAAUGAUAUUUAAAGACAUUGUCAUUGUCUUUAUAUCUUACUAUGUUAAUCAAAGCGAGUUAUUAAUACACGUUUAUUUUCCUGUUUAUGACUAACUUGAUUACGUCUGAUUUAUUAGUUACCAACACAAAAGAUCGUCCAUGUAUUAACCCCCCCCGUAUAUAAGCCCUCCCCCUUGUAUAAGCUCAUCAAAAAUCGCCUACGAAAGUAUAUAAGCCCAUGCACAGGGCUUAUAGUUAGGUUUACGGUAUAUCGAAUGUCAUGCUGAAUGUCAUGUUGAAUCUGAUGCGUACUUCACAAUGGUUGCUAUUUCGUUGUAUUAAAUUUCAAUAGUAUUACUAUUUUAAUUCAAAUUUUGUUUGAUAUUUAUAUUUCAAAAUGUGCUUUAGUUUUAAAGCUUUGCACAGAAUAUAGUCAGUACGAGCACAAUGGCUCCUUUCAGAUUGAAUAUGUAAAAAUCGAGUAUUUGAUAGCGUGUGCUUUGAGCAUAUGGCUUUGAGGCUUAUACAUAAAUAAAACGCCUGAUAUAAAUUGAUCAAUAAUCAGUGCGCGCGAGCACUCCAAAAUCACAACAAAUAACAGAAUAUACGGCAAGUUAAAAACAACAAAGCUUUACCUACCUCGAUUUAAUUUUCUAAGGCGCUCAAUUUGUAAAUUUUCGGCGAAUAAUCGAUAUGUCUUUGCGUUUCCUCGACGAAAACCCGGUAUGAAAAUGCUCGUCGGAAAAACGCGACGUAUUUGUCGUAUUUUACGAACCUGCCACGUGACUGGUACGCUCACCGCUCACUCACCGACACGACACGAAAUUUAGAGCUAUAUGAAAGUUGCAUGCCAUAUAUGGCAUGCAACAAAAAAC